GGCGGACGGGUGAGUAACACGUUGGGUAACCUUGCCUGUAAGAACUUGGGAUAACUCCGGGAAACCGGAGCUAAUACCGGAUAGUUCCUUGAACCGCAUGGUUCAAGGAUGAAAGACGGUUUCGGCUGUCACUUACAGAUGGACCCGCGGCGCAUUAGCUAGUUGGUGGGGUAAUGGCUCACCAAGGCGACGAUGCGUAGCCGACCUGAGAGGGUGAUCGGCCACACUGGGACUGAGACACGGCCCAGACUCCUACGGGAGGCAGCAGUAGGGAAUCUUCCGCAAUGGACGAAAGUCUGACGGAGCAACGCCGCGUGAGUGAUGAAGGUUUUCGGAUCGUAAAGCUCUGUUGUUAGGGAAGAACAAGUGCGAGAGUAACUGCUCGCACCUUGACGGUACCUAACCAGAAAGCCACGGCUAACUACGUGCCAGCAGCCGCGGUAAUACGUAGGUGGCAAGCGUUGUCCGGAAUUAUUGGGCGUAAAGGGCUCGCAGGCGGUUUCUUAAGUCUGAUGUGAAAGCCCCCGGCUCAACCGGGGAGGGUCAUUGGAAACUGGGAAACUUGAGUGCAGAAGAGGAGAGUGGAAUUCCACGUGUAGCGGUGAAAUGCGUAGAGAUGUGGAGGAACACCAGUGGCGAAGGCGACUCUCUGGUCUGUAACUGACGCUGAGGAGCGAAAGCGUGGGGAGCGAACAGGAUUAGAUACCCUGGUAGUCCACGCCGUAAACGAUGAGUGCUAAGUGUUAGGGGGUUUCCGCCCCUUAGUGCCGCAGCUAACGCACUAAGCACUCCGCCUGUGGAGUACGGUCCCAAGACUGAAACUCAAAGGAAUUGACGGGGGCCCGCACAAGCGGUGGAGCAUGUGGUUUAAUUCGAAGCAACGCGAAGAACCUUACCAGGUCUUGACAUCCUCUGACAACCCUAGAGAUAGGGCUUUCCCUUCGGGGACAGAGUGACAGGUGGUGCAUGGUUGUCGUCAGCUCGUGUCGUGAGAUGUUGGGUUAAGUCCCGCAACGAGCGCAACCCUUGAUCUUAGUUGCCAGCAUUCAGUUGGGCACUCUAAGGUGACUGCCGGUGACAAACCGGAGGAAGGUGGGGAUGACGUCAAAUCAUCAUGCCCCUUAUGACCUGGGCUACACACGUGCUACAAUGGACAGAACAAAGGGCUGCAAGACCGCAAGGUUUAGCCAAUCCCAUAAAUCUGUUCUCAGUUCGGAUCGCAGUCUGCAACUCGACUGCGUGAAGCUGGAAUCGCUAGUAAUCG
Molecule: ribosomal RNA, 1264 nt
Filed under: Bacillus sp. (in: firmicutes)
Lineage: Bacteria; Bacillati; Bacillota; Bacilli; Caryophanales; Bacillaceae
Description: bacterial SSU rRNA
Rfam family: Bacterial small subunit ribosomal RNA
Source: RNAcentral